Molecule: non-coding RNA, 375 nt
Organism: Paramuricea clavata
Lineage: Eukaryota; Metazoa; Cnidaria; Anthozoa; Malacalcyonacea; Plexauridae
Source: the annotation of a GenBank genome assembly
CUCAGAAAUCGCUCAAAAACGAAAAAGUUGCUUCAAGUUGCUCGAACUGAAAAAAGUUGCUCCAAACGCAAAAAGUUGCUCAAAAGUUGCCGAGCACAAUCGGGCCAUGCCUAUCUUCGACACAAGGUUCUCAAGGUCCAAGUAUACUGAUUAAAGCUUCGCAUCAUAAAAUCGAGGAUCUCUAACCGCUGAAUACCUUGGUUCACAUAAGCUACUAGUUUCUCUUACAGUUCCUCGUCUUCUUUCCAAGCAUCGUUUCGAAAAUAAUUGCCCGCCAUAUAUAUUGGAUUUUAAUCUUGGGCGGGAAGCAAAAUAGAACGCGCGCUGAGCAUCAUGGUAUAUUGUGGCAAUUCUAGGCCAUGGAGCAUUUUCAAU